RNAcentral lists this ribosomal RNA (1433 nucleotides) under uncultured bacterium. RNAcentral's name for it is "bacterial SSU rRNA". It matches the Rfam family "Bacterial small subunit ribosomal RNA". The record is from RNAcentral.
AGAGUUUGAUCAUGGCUCAGAACGUACGCUGGCGGCACGCCUAACACAUGCAAGUCGAACGAAGUAGCAAUACUUAGUGGCAGACGGGUGAGUAACAUGUAGGUAUCUGCCCUUUGGCCUGGAAUAACACGAGGAAACUUGUGCUAAUACCGGAUAAGUCUUUACGGAGAAAGCUUUAUGCACCAUUGGAUGAGCCUGCACUUGAUUAGUUUGUUGGUGGGGUAAUGGCCUACCAAGACUGUGAUCAAUAGCUGAUUUGAGAGGAUGAUCAGCCACAUUGGGACUGAGACACGGCCCAAACUCCUACGGGAGGCAGCAGUGGGGAAUCUUGCACAAUGGAGGAAACUCUGAUGCAGCGAUGCCGCGUGAGUGAAGAAGGCCCUUGGGUUGUAAAGCUCUUUCGUCGGGGAAGAAAAUGACUGUACCCGAAUAAGAAGGUCCGGCUAACUUCGUGCCAGCAGCCGCGGUAAUACGAAGGGACCUAGCGUAGUUCGGAAUUACUGGGCUUAAAGAGUUCGUAGGUGGUUGAAAAAGUUAGUGGUGAAAUCCCAGAGCUUAACUCUGGAACUGCCAUUAAAACUUUUCAGCUAGAGUAUGAUAGAGGAAAGCAGAAUUUCUAGUGUAGAGGUGAAAUUCGUAGAUAUUAGAAAGAAUACCAAUUGCGAAGGCAGCUUUCUGGAUCAUUACUGACACUGAGGAACGAAAGCAUGGGUAGCGAAGAGGAUUAGAUACCCUCGUAGUCCAUGCCGUAAACGAUGUGUGUUAGACGUUGGAAAUUUAUUUUCAGUGUCGCAGCGAAAGCGAUAAACACACCGCCUGGGGAGUACGACCGCAAGGUUAAAACUCAAAUGAAUUGACGGGGACCCGCACAAGUAGUGGAGCAUGUGGUUUAAUUCGAAGAUACGCGCAGAACCUUACCAACACUUGACAUGUUCGUCGCGACUCUAAGAGAUUAGAGUUUUCGGUUCGGCCGGACGAAACACAGGUGCUGCAUGGCUGUCGUCAGCUCGUGUCGUGAGAUGUUGGGUUAAGUCCCGCAACGAGCGCAACCCUCACUUUUAGUUGCCAUCAUUAAGUUGGGCACUCUGAAAGAACUGCCAGUGAUAAGCUGGAGGAAGGUGGGGAUGACGUCAAGUCCUCAUGGCCCUUACGUGUUGGGCUACACACGUGCUACAAUGGUAUCUACAACAGGAAGCAAGACUGCGAAGUUAAGCAAAUCCCUAAAAGAUACCUCAGUUCGGAUUGCACUCUGCAACUCGAGUGCAUGAAGCUGGAAUUACUAGUAAUCGUGGAUCAGCGUGCCACGGUGAAUGCGUUCCCGGGUCUUGUACACACCGCCCGUCACACCAUGGGGGUUGGUUCUACCUUAAGGCAAGGUUUUAAACCCUUGACCACGGUAUAGUCAGCGACUGGGGUGAAGUCGUAACAAGGUA